RNAcentral lists this ribosomal RNA (497 nucleotides) under uncultured bacterium. RNAcentral's name for it is "partial 16S ribosomal RNA". It matches the Rfam family "Bacterial small subunit ribosomal RNA", at positions 28 to 507 of the family's 1533-position model. The record is from RNAcentral.
GAUGAACGCUGGCGGCGUGCCUAAUACAUGCAAGUCGAGCGAACGGACGAGAAGCUUGCUUCUCUGAUGUUAGCGGCGGACGGGUGAGUAACACGUGGAUAACCUACCUAUAAGACUGGGAUAACUUCGGGAAACCGGAGCUAAUACCGGAUAAUAUUUUGAACCGCAUGGUUCAACAGUGAAAGACGGUCUUGCUGUCACUUAUAGAUGGAUCCGCGCUGCAUUAGCUAGUUGGUAGGGUAACGGCUUACCAAGGCAACGAUGCAUAGCCGACCUGAGAGGGUGAUCGGCCACACUGGAACUGAGACACGGUCCAGACUCCUACGGGAGGCAGCAGUAGGGAAUCUUCCGCAAUGGGCGAAAGCCUGACGGAGCAACGCCGCGUGAGUGAUGAAGGUCUUCGGAUCGUAAAACUCUGUUAUUAGGGAAGAACAUAUGUGUAAGUAACUGUGCACAUCUUGACGGUACCUAAUCAGAAAGCCACGGCUAACUACGUG